This 927-nucleotide ribosomal RNA is filed under the name Zoanthus sociatus. RNAcentral describes it as "partial large subunit ribosomal RNA". It matches the Rfam family "Bacterial large subunit ribosomal RNA", at positions 1574 to 2570 of the family's 2925-position model. The record is from RNAcentral. Lineage: Eukaryota; Metazoa; Cnidaria; Anthozoa; Zoantharia; Zoanthidae.
CGCACAAAGUGCCAGGAAAGAAUUAUUCAAGCCCUUCCCAGAAGGUAUCCUUCUGGCAAGGGUACUGUACUAAACUAACUAAAGUGGGGGAUAGUGAGGGGAUAAAUUUUCUUAAGGAACUCGGCAAAAUCCCAAUGGCCCACCAGGGCAUAUUGGAACACGGGCCUCGACUGUUUACCAAAAACAUAGCCCUCGGCUAAUAUGAAAAUAGAUGUAUAGAGGGUGAUGCCUGCCCAAUGGUUGUAUCUAAAAGCGGUUGAUAAAAGUUGACCUCGUAAGGACAAUUGAAUGGCCGCGGUAACACUGACCGUGAUAAUGUAGCGUAAUCAAUAGCCAAUUAAUUGUUGGCCAGUAUGAAUGGCGCCACGAAGGCCCCACUGUCUUAAGGAAAUUCCCAGUGAAAUUGAAUUCGUAGUGAAGAUGCUACGUCCAAUUUGUUAGACGAAAAGACCCCGUUGAGCUUUACUGGAGCACUUACAUGGCCCCGGCCUUCCCAUGCCUGGGAACCGGCCGAAUUUAAAUGGGCGGCUUAGAUUAUGUGGCAGCCCCCCGCUGGGGCAAAUGAAACACCACUCCCCCAUGUCAAAGGGGCUAACCCCCCCCCUUGGGGGGACAGUGUAAGUAGGACAGUUUGGUUGGGGCGACCACCUUUUAAAAAGUAACGAAGGUGCGCUUAAGGUGCGCAAUUAAUGACUGAAGCCUGACUGCGAGGGGGACACCCCGAGCAGACACCCCAAAGCCCGCCCGAAAGGCGGCGGUGGGGUGGGCCAUAGUGACCCGUUAAUUUAGAGUGGAAUAGUUAACGAUCAACGAAUAAAAGUUACCACGGGGAUAACAGCGUAAUAUCGUUAGAGAGUUCACAUCGACGACGAUGUUUGCGACCUCGAUGUUGAAUUGCGGCAUCCUGGGGUGCAGCCGCUCCAAGUG